RNAcentral lists this ribosomal RNA (234 nucleotides) under uncultured bacterium. RNAcentral's name for it is "partial 16S ribosomal RNA". It matches the Rfam family "Bacterial small subunit ribosomal RNA", at positions 15 to 235 of the family's 1533-position model. The record is from RNAcentral.
GAUCCUGGCUCAGGAUGAACGCUAGCGACAGGCUUAACACAUGCAAGUCGAGGGGGCAGCAUGAUUUGUAGCAAUACAGAUUGAUGGCGACCGGGCGCACGGGUGAGUAACGCGUAUGCAACUUACCUAUCAGAGGGGGGAUAGCCCGGCGAAAGUCGGAUUAAUACCCCAUAAAACAGGGGUCCCGCAUGGGAAUAUUUUGUUAAAGAUUCAUCGCUGAUAGAUAGGCAUGCG